This is a non-coding RNA of Bos taurus (domestic cattle), 57 nucleotides long. The record is from Rfam. Lineage: Eukaryota; Metazoa; Chordata; Mammalia; Artiodactyla; Bovidae.
UAGCUCAGUCGGUAAAGAAUCUGCCUGCAAUGCAGGAGACCCAGGUUCAAUUCCUGG